GAUGAACGCUAGCGGCAGGCUUAACACAUGCAAGUCGAGGGGUAACAGGGUGCUUGCACCGCUGACGACCGGCGCACGGGUGCGUAACGCGUAUACAAUCUACCUUAUAGAGGGGGAUAGCCCAGAGAAAUUUGGAUUAAUACCCCAUAGUACUUAGAUUCAGCAUUGGAUUUAGGUUAAACAUUUAUGGCUAUAAGAUGAGUAUGCGUCCUAUUAGUUAGUUGGUAAGGUAACGGCUUACCAAGACCGCGAUAGGUAGGGGUCCUGAGAGGGCGAUCCCCCACACUGGUACUGAGACACGGACCAGACUCCUACGGGAGGCAGCAGUGAGGAAUAUUGGACAAUGGGCGAGAGCCUGAUCCAGCCAUGCCGCGUGCAGGAAGACGGCCCUAUGGGUUGUAAACUGCUUUUAUACGGGAAGAAACACCUCUUCGUGAAGGGGCUUGACGGUACCGUAAGAAUAAGGAUCGGCUAACUCCGUGCCAGCAGCCGCCGUAA
RNAcentral lists this ribosomal RNA (498 nucleotides) under uncultured bacterium. Its description in RNAcentral is "partial 16S ribosomal RNA". It matches the Rfam family "Bacterial small subunit ribosomal RNA", at positions 28 to 523 of the family's 1533-position model. The record is from RNAcentral.